GGACUUAGGUUUGUUGCGAGAUUUUUUUUUUUAUUACUGACUCAAUUUCAUUGUUAGUAAUCUGUUCAGAUUUUGUUUCUUCCUAUUCAUUCUUGGAAGAUUAUAUGUUUCUAGGAAUGUAUCCAUUUCUUCUAAGUUGUUCAAUUUGUUGACAUAUAAUUGUGUUAGUCUCAUAGUUGUUUGUAUUUCUGUGGUGUUGGUUGUCACUUCUUCAUUUUUGACUUUGGGCUCUUUUUUUGAGCCUUGUUUCAUCAAGAAAAAUGAUGGGAUCCCUGGGUGGCGCAGCGGUUUGGCGCCUGCCUUUGGCCCAGGCCGCGAUCCUGGAGACCCGGGAUCGAAUCCCACAUCAGGCUACCGGUGCAUGGAGCCUGCUUCUCCCUCUGCCUAUGUCUCUGCCUGUCUCUCUCUCUCUCUGUGACUAUCAUAAAUAAAUAAAAAUUAUUAAAAAAAAAAAAGAAAAAUGAGUCUGACUAAAGGUUUAUUAAUUUUGUUUGUUGUUUCAAAGAAUCAGCUCUUAUUUUCACUGAUCUUUUCUAUUGCUUUUUCAGUUUUUCUUUCAUUUAUUUCUGCCCUAAUCUUUAUUAUUGCCUUCCGUCUACUAAUUUUGGGCUUUAUUCUUUGUCUAGUUUCCUUAGCUGUUCCCUUUGAUUAUUUUUCUUAUUUCUUGAGGUAGGUCCGUAUUGCUUUGAACUUCCCUCUUAAAACUGUGUGUGGGGACGCCGGGUGGCUCAGUGGUUGAGCAUCUGCCUUUGGCUCAGGUCGUGAUCUUGGGGUCCUGGGAUCGAGUCCUGCAUCAGGCUACCCAGAGGGAGCCUGCUUCUCCCUCUGCCUCUGUCUCUCAUGAAUAAGUAAAUAAAAUCUUAAAAACAAAAAACAAAACUGGGACGCCUCGGUGGCUCAGUGAUAGAACGCCUGCCUUCGGUCCGGGGUGUGAUCCUGGGGUCCAGGGAUCGAGUCCCACAUCUGGCUAGCAGCAUGGAGCCUGCUUCUCUUACUGCCUGUGUGUCUGCCUCUUUCUGUGUGUGUCUUUCAUGAAUAAAGAAAUAAAAUCUUUAAAAAAAAACUGCUUUUGCUACAUCCUACAGAUUUUGGAAUGCUGUGUUUCUACUUUUAUUUAUCUCAGGCUAUUUUGUUAUUUCCUCCUUGAUUUCUUCAGUGACCCAUUGGUUGUUUAAUAGCAUGUUAUUUAGCCUCCAUGUGUUUUGUAGCUUCCAUGUUUUGUUCUCGCAAUUGAUGUCUGGUUUCAUAUUGUUGUGGUCAGAAUAGAUAACGAUGCGAUUUAGAUAUUUUUGAAUUUAUUGCGAUUUAUUUUGUGGCCUAGUAUGGUCUAUCAUGGAAAAUGUUCCAUGUGCACUUGCAUAUGCAUUCUACUGUUUGGGAAUAAAGUGUUCUGUAUAUUAUCUGU
Molecule: long non-coding RNA, 1405 nt
Filed under: Canis lupus familiaris (dog)
Lineage: Eukaryota; Metazoa; Chordata; Mammalia; Carnivora; Canidae
Description: lncRNA (ENSCAFG00000058245.1, ENSCAFG00845030706.1)
Source: RNAcentral